RNAcentral lists this ribosomal RNA (563 nucleotides) under uncultured bacterium. RNAcentral describes it as "bacterial SSU rRNA". It matches the Rfam family "Bacterial small subunit ribosomal RNA", at positions 339 to 916 of the family's 1533-position model. The record is from RNAcentral.
CCUCGGGAGGCAGCAGUAGGGAAUUUUCCGCAAUGGGCGAGAGCCUGACGGAGCAAUACCGCGUGAGGGAAGACUGCCUAUGGGUUGUAAACCUCUUUUUUCAGGGAGGAAUUUUGACGUGUACCUGAAGAAUAAGCAUCGGCUAACUCCGUGCCAGCAGCCGCGGUAAGACGGAGGAUGCAAGUGUUAUCCGGAAUCACUGGGCGUAAAGCGUCUGUAGGUGGUUAAACAAGUCAACUGUUAAAUCUUGAAGCUCAACUUCAAAAUCGCAGUCGAAACUGUUUGACUAGAGUAUAGUAGGGGUAAAGGGAAUUUCCAGUGGAGCGGUGAAAUGCGUAGAUAUUGGAAAGAACACCGAUGGCGAAGGCACUUUACUGGGCUAUUACUGACACUCAGAGACGAAAGCUAGGGUAGCAAAUGGGAUUAGAUACCCCAGUAGUCCUAGCCGUAAACAAUGGAUACUAGAUGUUGAACAGAUCGACCUGUGCAGUAUCAAAGCUAACGCGUUAAGUAUCCCGCCUGGGAAGUAUGCUCGCAAGAGUGAAACUCAAAGGAAUUGACGG